UGCGAAUGGCUCAUUAAAUCAGUUAUCGUUUAUUUGAUAGUACCUUACUACUUGGAUAACCGUGGUAAUUCUAGAGCUAAUACAUGCUAAAAACCCCGACUUCGGGAGGGGUGUAUUUAUUAGAUAAAAAACCAAUGCCCUUCGGGGCUCUUUGGUGAUUCAUGAUAACUUAACGGAUCGCAUGGCCUUGCGCCGGCGACGGUUCAUUCAAAUUUCUGCCCUAUCAACUUUCGAUGGUAAGGUAUUGGCUUACCAUGGUUUCAACGGGUAACGGGGAAUUAGGGUUCGAUUCCGGAGAGGGAGCCUGAGAAACGGCUACCACAUCCAAGGAAGGCAGCAGGCGCGCAAAUUACCCAAUCCCGACACGGGGAGGUAGUGACAAUAAAUACUGAUACAGGGCUCUUUUGGGUCUUGUAAUCGGAAUGAGUACAAUUUAAACCCCUUAACGAGGAACAAUUGGAGGGCAAGUCUGGUGCCAGCAGCCGCGGUAAUUCCAGCUCCAAUAGCGUAUAUUAAAGUUGUUGCAGUUAAAAAGCUCGUAGUUGAACCUUGGGCCUGGCUGGCCGGUCCGCCUCACCGCGUGUACUGGUCCGGCCGGGCCUUUCCUUCUGGAGAGCCUCAUGCCCUUCACUGGGUGUGUUGGGGAACCAGGACUUUUACUGUGAACAAAUUAGAGUGUUCAAAGCAGGCCUUUGCUCGAAUACAUUAGCAUGGAAUAAUAGAAUAGGACGUGCGGUCCUAUUUUGUUGGUUUCUAGGACCGCCGUAAUGAUUAAUAGGGAUAGUCGGGGGCAUCAGUAUUCAAUUGUCAGAGGUGAAAUUCUUGGAUUUAUUGAAGACUAACUACUGCGAAAGCAU
This 857-nucleotide ribosomal RNA is filed under the name Neooccultibambusa thailandensis. RNAcentral describes it as "SSU rRNA". It matches the Rfam family "Eukaryotic small subunit ribosomal RNA", at positions 88 to 954 of the family's 1831-position model. Lineage: Eukaryota; Fungi; Ascomycota; Dothideomycetes; Pleosporales; Occultibambusaceae. The record is from RNAcentral.